GCUGGCGGCACGCCUAACACAUGCAAGUCGAACGCAGUAGCAAUACUGAGUGGCAAACGGGUGAGUAUAAUGUGGGAAUCUACCUUUUGGUUCGGAAUAACACGGGGAAACUUGUGCUAAUACCGGAUAAGCCUUCACAGGGAAAGUUUUAAUGCCAAAAGAUGAGCCCGCACUUGAUUAGCUAGUUGGUGAGGUAAUUGCUCACCAAGGCAACGAUCAAUAGCUGUUCUUAGAGGAAGACCAGCCACAUUGGGACUGAGACACGGCCCAGACUCCUACGGGAGGCAGCAGUGGGGAAUCUUGCACAAUGGGGGAAACCCUGAUGCAGCGAUGCCGCGUGAGUGAAGAAGGCCUUUGGGUUGUAAAACUCUUUCGUCGGGGAAGAAAAUGACUGUACCCGAAUAAGAAGGUCCGGCUAACUUCGUGCCAGCAGCCGCGGUAAUACGAAGGGACCUAGCGUAGUUCGGAAUUACUGGGCUUAAAGAGCUCGUAGGUGGUUAAAAAAGUUGAUUGUGAAAUCCCAAGGCUUAACCUUGGAACUGCAAUCAAAACUUUUUAGCUAGAGUGUGAUAGAGGAAAGUGGAAUUUCUAGUGUAGAGGUGAAAUUCGUAGAUAUUAGAAAGAACACCAAAUGCGAAGGCAACUUUCUGGAUCAUUACUGACACUGAGGAGCGAAAGCAUGGGUAGCGAAGAGGAUUAGAUACCCUCGUAGUCCAUGCUGUAAACGAUGUGUGCUAGACGUUGGAAGCAUAGCUUUCAGUGUCGCAGCGAAAGCAUUAAGCACACCGCCUGGGGAGUACGACC
RNAcentral lists this ribosomal RNA (804 nucleotides) under uncultured Pelagibacteraceae bacterium. RNAcentral's name for it is "bacterial SSU rRNA". It matches the Rfam family "Bacterial small subunit ribosomal RNA", at positions 35 to 887 of the family's 1533-position model. The record is from RNAcentral. Lineage: Bacteria; Pseudomonadati; Pseudomonadota; Alphaproteobacteria; Candidatus Pelagibacterales; Candidatus Pelagibacteraceae.